This 1173-nucleotide ribosomal RNA is filed under the name uncultured organism. RNAcentral describes it as "bacterial SSU rRNA". It matches the Rfam family "Bacterial small subunit ribosomal RNA", at positions 30 to 1157 of the family's 1533-position model. The record is from RNAcentral.
CGAACGCUGGCGGCGUGGAUAGGCAUGCAGUCGAGCGGGAUCGCAGAUUCAAUUCUUCGGAAAAGAUUUCUGUGGUGAGAGCGGCGAACGGGUGAGUAAUACGCAGACAACUUGCCCCCAGGACUGGGAUAGCCCCUCGAAAGAGGGAUUAAUACCGGAUGUGGUCGUCUCGCAUAAGCGAGAUUAUCCAAAGGUGCCUGCUUUGCAGGUAUCACCUGGGGAUAGGUUUGCGUUCUAUCAGCUUGUUGGUGGGGUAACGGCUCACCAAGGCGAUGACGGAUAGCUGGUCUGAGAGGAUGGUCAGCCACACUGGGACUGAGACACUGCCCAGACUCCUACGGGAGGCUGCAGUCGAGAAUCAUUCGCAAUGCGCGAAAGCGUGACGAUGCGACGCCGCGUGGAGGAUGACGGCCUUCGGGUUGUAAACUCCUGUCAUGAGGGAACAAAGCUUGCGGGUUAAUACCCCGCGAGUGUGAUGGUACCUCAAGAGGAAGUCACGGCUAACUCUGUGCCAGCAGCCGCGGUAAUACAGAGGUGGCAAGCGUUGUCCGGAUUUACUGGGCGUAAAGGGUGCGUAGGCGGUACGGUAUGUCGGAUGUGAAAUCUCACAGCUCAACUGUGAAAGGUCAUUCGAAACUGCCGAACUAGAGUACUGGAGAGGAGAGCGGAAUUCUUGGAGUAAGCGGUGAAAUGCGUAGAUAUCAAGAAGAACACCGGUGGCGAAGGCGGCUCUCUGGACAGUUACUGACGCUGAGGUACGAAAGCCGGGGUAGCGAAGAGGAUUAGAUACCCUCGUAGUCCCGGCAGUAAACGAUGUGCACUUGGUGUGGGGAGGAGUUAUCCCCUUUCCGUACCGGAGUUAACGCGUUAAGUGCACCGCCUGGGGAGUACGGCCGCAAGGCUAAUACUCAAAGGAAUUGACGGGGGCCCGCACAAGCGGUGGAGCAUGUGGCUUAAUUCGAUGCAACGCGAAGAACCUUACCUGGGUUUGACAUGCCCGUCGUAUUCUCAUGAAAGGGAGAAGUCAGCUAGGCUGGACGGUGCACAGGUGCUGCAUGGCUGUCGUCAGCUCGUGCCGUGAGGUGUUGGGUUAAGUCCCGCAACGAGCGCAACCAUUGUGUUUAGUUGCCACUCCCAAUUCUGUUGGGAAGCACUCUAGACAGACUGCCCGUG